RNAcentral lists this ribosomal RNA (50 nucleotides) under Podospora anserina S mat+. Lineage: Eukaryota; Fungi; Ascomycota; Sordariomycetes; Sordariales; Podosporaceae. The record is from RNAcentral.
AGUACUCAGGUGGGUGACCACUGGGGAAUCCUCGGUGUUGUAUGUAUUUU